CUGAUGCAGCGACGCCGCGUGAGGGAUGACGGCCUUCGGGUUGUAAACCUCUUUUAGUAGGGAAGAAGCGAAAGUGACGGUACCUGCAGAAGAAGCGCCGGCUAACUACGUGCCAGCAGCCGCGGUAAUACGUAGGGCGCAAGCGUUGUCCGGAAUUAUUGGGCGUAAAGAGCUCGUAGGCGGCUUGUCACGUCGGUUGUGAAAGCCCGGGGCUUAACCCCGGGUCUGCAGUCGAUACGGGCAGGCUAGAGUUCGGUAGGGGAGAUCGGAAUUCCUGGUGUAGCGGUGAAAUGCGCAGAUAUCAGGAGGAACACCGGUGGCGAAGGCGGAUCUCUGGGCCGAUACUGACGCUGAGGAGCGAAAGCGUGGGGAGCGAACAGGAUUAGAUACCCUGGUAGUCCACGCCGUAAACGGUGGGAACUAGGUGUGGGCGACAUUCCACGUCGUCCGUGCCGCAGCUAACGCAUUAAGUUCCCCGCCUGGGGAGUACGGCCGCAAGGCUAAAACUCAAA
This 512-nucleotide ribosomal RNA is filed under the name Streptomyces alfalfae. RNAcentral describes it as "bacterial SSU rRNA". It matches the Rfam family "Bacterial small subunit ribosomal RNA", at positions 383 to 905 of the family's 1533-position model. The record is from RNAcentral. Lineage: Bacteria; Bacillati; Actinomycetota; Actinomycetes; Kitasatosporales; Streptomycetaceae.